AACGAACGCUGGCGGCGUGCCUAACACAUGCAAGUCGUGCGAGAAAGUUCCUUCGGGAGCGAGUAAAGCGGCGCACGGGUGAGUAACACGUAGGUAACCUGCCCCCCAGUCUGGAACAACUAGAGGAAACUCUAGCUAAUGCCGGAUGAGACCACGAUCCCUUCGGGGGUUGCGGCCAAAGAUGGCCUCUACUUGUAAGCUAUCGCUGAGGGAUGGGCCUGCGGGCCAUUAGCUUGUUGGUGAGGUUAACGGCUCACCAAGGCUGUGAUGGCUAGCUGGUCUGAGAGGAUGACCAGCCACACUGGGACUGAGACACGGCCCAGACUCCUACGGGAGCAGCAGUGGGGAAUAUUGCGCAAUGGGCGAAAGCCUAGACGCAGCGACGCCGCGUGGGUGAUGAAGGCCU
This 406-nucleotide ribosomal RNA is filed under the name uncultured bacterium. RNAcentral's name for it is "bacterial SSU rRNA". It matches the Rfam family "Bacterial small subunit ribosomal RNA", at positions 29 to 417 of the family's 1533-position model. The record is from RNAcentral.